This 109-nucleotide small nuclear RNA is filed under the name Microcebus murinus (gray mouse lemur). Lineage: Eukaryota; Metazoa; Chordata; Mammalia; Primates; Cheirogaleidae. The record is from RNAcentral.
GUGCUCGCUUCGGCAGCACACAUACUAAAAUUGGAACGGUACAGAGAAGAUUAGCAUGGCCCUGCGCAAGAAUGACACGCAAAAAAACCCACAAAAAAAAAACCCCUUU